UAUUACGGGAAGGCAUCUUUCUGUAAUGAAAGCUCCGGCGGUUGAAGAUGAGCAUGCGCGACAUUAGCCAGUUGGUGAGGUAACGGCUCACCAAGGCUACGAUGUCUAGGGGUUCUGAGAGGAUUCACCCCCACACUGGUACUGAGACACGGACCAGACUCCUACGGGAGGCAGCAGUAAGGAAUAUUGGUCAAUGGGCGCAAGCCUGAACCAGCCAUGCCGCGUGCAGGAUGACAGCCCUACGGGUUGUAAACUGCUUUUGUACGGGAAAAAACCUUCGGUCGUGUACCGGAGCUGAUGGUACCGUAAGAAUAAGCAUCGGCUAACUCCGUGCCAGCAGCCGCGGUAAUCGGAGGAUGCAAGCGUUAUCCGGAUUCAUUGGGUUUAAAGGGUGCGCA
Molecule: ribosomal RNA, 398 nt
Filed under: uncultured bacterium
Lineage: Bacteria
Description: bacterial SSU rRNA
Rfam family: Bacterial small subunit ribosomal RNA
Source: RNAcentral